GGGUGGUACUUGUUUCCGCCGGCUAGUGCCGGAACAGCUGGACAGCUCACCUCGCGUGACUGUUCGUGCUGCCUGGCGUUUUACUUUGAACAAAUCAGAGUGCUCAGCACAGGCGUCUCGCCUGAAUGUUCGUGCAUGGAAUAAUAGAAGAGGAUUUCGGUCCUAUUUUAUUGGUUUUGAGGACUGAGAUAAUGGUUAACAGAGACAAACGGGGGCAUUCGUAUUGCUGCGUGAGAGGUGAAAUUCUUGGACCGCAGCAAGACGGACAACAGCGAAAGCAUUUGCCAAGAAUGUCUUCAUUAAUCAAGAACGAAAGUCAGAGGUCCGAAGGCGAUCAGAUACCGCCCUAGUUCUGACCGUAAACGAUGCCAACUAGCGAUCCGCCGGCGGAUUCCAAACGCCCUGGUGGGGAGCUUCCCGGAAACGAAAGUCUUCCGGUUCCGGGGGAAGUAUGGUUGCAAAGCUGAAACUUAAAGGAAUUGACGGAAGGGCACCACCAGGAGUGGAGCCUGCGGCUUAAUUUGACUCAACACGGGAAAACUCACCCGGCCCGGACACCGCGAGGAUUGACAGAUUGAUAGCUCUUUCAUGAUUCGGUGGAUGGUGGUGCAUGGGCCGUUCUUAGUUCGUGGAGCGAUUUGUCUGGGUUUAUUCCGAUAACGAGCGAGACUCUAGCCUACUAACUAGUCCGCAUGUUCCUUGUGCUGCAUGCUCACUACGGACUUCUUAGAGGGAUUUUCGG
RNAcentral lists this ribosomal RNA (742 nucleotides) under uncultured eukaryote. Its description in RNAcentral is "bacterial SSU rRNA". It matches the Rfam family "Eukaryotic small subunit ribosomal RNA", at positions 670 to 1426 of the family's 1831-position model. The record is from RNAcentral.